This 251-nucleotide ribosomal RNA is filed under the name uncultured prokaryote. RNAcentral describes it as "partial 16S ribosomal RNA". It matches the Rfam family "Bacterial small subunit ribosomal RNA", at positions 525 to 775 of the family's 1533-position model. The record is from RNAcentral.
ACGUAGGGUGCGAGCGUUAAUCGGAAUUACUGGGCGUAAAGCGUGCGCAGGCGGUUUUGUAAGACAGAGGUGAAAUCCCCGGGCUCAACCCGGGAACUGCCUUUGUGACUGCAAGGCUGGAGUGCGGCAGAGGAGGAUGGAAUUCCGCGUGUAGCGGUGAAAUGCGUAGAGAUGCGGAGGAACACCGAUGGCGAAGGCAGCCAUCUGGGAUGACACUGACGCUCAUGCACGAAAGCGUGGGGAGCAAACAG